RNAcentral lists this ribosomal RNA (540 nucleotides) under Cottunculus thomsonii (pallid sculpin). Its description in RNAcentral is "partial 16S large subunit ribosomal RNA". It matches the Rfam family "Bacterial large subunit ribosomal RNA", at positions 1846 to 2586 of the family's 2925-position model. Lineage: Eukaryota; Metazoa; Chordata; Actinopteri; Perciformes; Psychrolutidae. The record is from RNAcentral.
UAAGAGGUCCCGCCUGCCCUGUGACUAUUUGUUUAACGGCCGCGGUAUUUUGACCGUGCGAAGGUAGCGCAAUCACUUGUCUUUUAAAUGGAGACCCGUAUGAAUGGCAUAACGAGGGCUUAACUGUCUCCUCUUUCAAGUCAAUGAAAUUGAUCUUUCCGUGCAGAAGCGGGAAUAUAAACAUAAGACGAGAAGACCCUAUGGAGCUUUAGACACUACAGCAGCCCACGUUAAGCACCCUGAAUAAAGGACUAAACCAAGUGGGCCCUGCCUUAAUGUCUUUGGUUGGGGCGACCGCGGGGAAUUAAAGAACCCCCACGUGGAGCGGGAAUACUUUUCCUACAACUAAGAGCUACAGCUCUAGUUAACAGAACUUCUGACCAGCAAGAUCCGGCACUGCCGAUCAACGGACCGAGUUACCCUAGGGAUAACAGCGCAAUCCUCUUUUAGAGCCCAUAUCGACAAGGGGGUUUACGACCUCGAUGUUGGAUCAGGACAUCCUAAUGGUGCAGCCGCUAUUAAGGGUUCGUUUGUUCAACG